AUUGAACGCUGGCGGCAUGCCUUACACAUGCAAGUCGAACGGCAGCACGGGAGCAAUCCUGGUGGCGAGUGGCGAACGGGUGAGUAAUAUAUCGGAACGUGCCCAGUCGUGGGGGAUAACGUAGCGAAAGCUACGCUAAUACCGCAUACGAUCUAUGGAUGAAAGCGGGGGAUCGCAAGACCUCGCGCGACUGGAGCGGCCGAUAUCAGAUUAGGUAGUUGGUGAGGUAAAGGCUCACCAAGCCGACGAUCUGUAGCUGGUCUGAGAGGACGACCAGCCACACUGGGACUGAGACACGGCCCAGACUCCUACGGGAGGCAGCAGUGGGGAAUUUUGGACAAUGGGCGCAAGCCUGAUCCAGC
This 362-nucleotide ribosomal RNA is filed under the name uncultured bacterium. RNAcentral's name for it is "bacterial SSU rRNA". It matches the Rfam family "Bacterial small subunit ribosomal RNA", at positions 30 to 392 of the family's 1533-position model. The record is from RNAcentral.